Molecule: ribosomal RNA, 429 nt
Filed under: Pseudomonadota bacterium
Lineage: Bacteria; Pseudomonadati; Pseudomonadota
Description: Proteobacteria bacterium partial 16S ribosomal RNA
Rfam family: Bacterial small subunit ribosomal RNA
Source: RNAcentral
UGGGGAAUAUUGGACAAUGGGCGAAAGCCUGAUCCAGCCAUGCCGCGUGUGUGAAGAAGGUCUUCGGAUUGUAAAGCACUUUAAGUUGGGAGGAAGGGCAGUAAGCGAAUACCUUGCUGUUUUGACGUUACCGACAGAAUAAGCACCGGCUAACUCUGUGCCAGCAGCCGCGGUAAUACAGAGGGUGCAAGCGUUAAUCGGAAUUACUGGGCGUAAAGUGCGCGUAGGUGGUUCGUUAAGUUGAAUGUGAAAGCCCCGGGCUCAACCUGGGAACUGCAUCCAAAACUGGCGAGCUAGAGUAGGGCAGAGGGUGGUGGAAUUUCCUGUGUAGCGGAGAAAUGCGUAGAUAUAGGAAGGAACACCAGUGGCGAAGGCGACCACCUGGGCUCAUACUGACACUGAGGUGCGAAAGCGUGGGGAGCAAACAGG